This is a non-coding RNA of Cinara cedri, 202 nucleotides long. The record is from the annotation of a GenBank genome assembly. Lineage: Eukaryota; Metazoa; Arthropoda; Insecta; Hemiptera; Aphididae.
CGGACCCGGCCGCGUAUACGCGUACCGAUAUCCGUUCCGGCACUUCUCUGAGAACGUUGCGCACGCCGUAAAAACGCACUUGUACACGCGGCUACGGGAUAUCGAAACGUCGACGGCGGUGCCUCGGCGGGCCAUAAUAGCGACGACCGUAAUAAUAAUGUCGCAGAUACCGACAAUCUCGAAGCGAAUUCGUCGGCGGUCU